Molecule: long non-coding RNA, 327 nt
Organism: Rhagoletis pomonella (apple maggot)
Lineage: Eukaryota; Metazoa; Arthropoda; Insecta; Diptera; Tephritidae
Exons: 2
Source: RefSeq, a predicted model, not a curated record
GUUCUCCCCAAGGAUUUGUAGUUAUUUUGGUCGGUGCUUCCUUCCGCUGCAAUUCCGUCUGUGGUUCACUGCCACUGGCCUUGCUUUUUCAACGAUAUAACUGUUUUCUUGUGAUUUUUGCUGCUGCAAUCCCGUCUGUGGUUCACUGCCACUGGCCCUGCUUUUCCAACGAUAUAACUGUUUUUUUGGUAACUUCUACCGCUAAGACUUUGUUGCUUUUUCCCUUUUCCCUAAAAAACAUAAUAGUGCUACAAAGCUCAAUAACAAUAUGGAAACAAAUGUUAAUAAGCCACAAUAAUAUUGACAAUAAAUAAGAUUUCACUACGA